CCUACGGGUGGCAGCAGUGAGGAAUAUUGGUCAAUGGGCGCAAGCCUGAACCAUCCAAGUCGCGUGAGGGAUGAAGGUUCUAUGGAUUGUAAACCUCUUUUAUAAGGGAAUAAAGUGCGGGACGUGUCCCGUUUUGUAUGUACCUUAUGAAUAAGGAUCGGCUAACUCCGUGCCAGCAGCCGCGGUAAUACGGAGGAUCCGAGCGUUAUCCGGAUUUAUUGGGUUUAAAGGGUGCGUAGGCGGCCUGUUAAGUCAGCUGUGAAAGUUUGUGGCUCAACCAUAGAAUUGCCGUUGAAACUGGCAGGCUUGAGUAUGUUUGAGGCAGGCGGAAUGCGUGGUGUAGCGGUGAAAUGCUUAGAUAUCACGCAGAACCCCGAUUGCGAAGGCAGCCUGCCAAGCCAUGACUGACGCUGAUGCACGAAAGCGUGGGGAUCAAACAGGAUUAGAUACCCCUGUAGUC
This 460-nucleotide ribosomal RNA is filed under the name uncultured bacterium. RNAcentral describes it as "partial 16S ribosomal RNA". It matches the Rfam family "Bacterial small subunit ribosomal RNA", at positions 338 to 795 of the family's 1533-position model. The record is from RNAcentral.